This 465-nucleotide ribosomal RNA is filed under the name uncultured bacterium. Its description in RNAcentral is "partial 16S ribosomal RNA". It matches the Rfam family "Bacterial small subunit ribosomal RNA", at positions 28 to 507 of the family's 1533-position model. The record is from RNAcentral.
GACGAACGCUGGCGGCGUGCUUAACACAUGCAAGUCGAACGGAAAGGCCCCUUUGGGGGUACUCGAGUGGCGAACGGGUGAGUAACACGUGAGUAACCUGCCCUUGACUUCGGGAUAACUUCUGGAAACUGGGGCUAAUACCGGAUAGGAAUCCUUGCUGCAUGGUGGGGGUUGGAAAGCUUCGGCGGUGUUGGAUGGACUCGCGGCUUAUCAGCUUGUUGGUGGGGUAGUGGCUUACCAAGGCUUUGACGGGUAGCCGGCCUGAGAGGGCGACCGGCCACAUUGGGACUGAGAUACGGCCCAGACUCCGACGGGAGGCAGCAGUGGGGAAUAUUGCACAAGGGGCGGAAGCCUGAUGCAGCAACGCCGCGGGCGGGAUGACGGCCUUCGGGUUGUAAACCGCUUUCAGCAGGGGCGAAGCUUGUGGUGACGGUACCUGCAGAAGAAGCACCGGCUAACUACGUG